UACAUUUCAGGCCUGGUUCUCAUUUCUAUGUAUACAACUUGGAUAGUUUUAUGAUUAAUAUGCUGGAUAUGAUACCAUGAUUUGAUAUUGCGUUUGUUGGAUGUUUAAUAAAUGUUAUCCAAACUAAUUGCCUCUAGUUGGUAAUGAUGUAAUUCGAUUUUCAUAGGUUGUUUUUGAUAUCAAUAAUCAAAUUUUUUAGAUAUGUGCAACAGAUCACUGUGAAUAUAUGCGUAACAGGUCACUGUGUAGUGUAAUAAGUGUGAGUGAAGUAUGUUUGAAUUUAUAACUCAAAUCCAAUGAUUUAAUUGCUAAUUUGAGAAUGGAAUGGUAGUGUUUAUGUCAAGUGUUCAUUUUCUUCUUAUUUGUGUACAACUUUAAUAACAUGUCAUAAUGCUAUUAAGUAUUAUUCCACCAGUCCAAGAGUAAUUCCUUUUCCUUAGAAUUUUCGAUAGCUUCUCGGGGGCGUAGAAGGCUUAUUAAUAUACAGAUUUUGUUAAGUAUAAGCUCAAUAGAAGUAGUCCGGUGUUAAGUAAAUUCCUUGUCAUCAUGUACAUACGGGGUUGUUCCAAAUUGUGCAACAUAGGACUAAAAAGAACUUUUUCUUUGAGGUAAUUACCUUCACGCACAAGGUUCUCUUAUUUGCCAGAAGAAAAUAAUAAGAGUUCCUUGAUGAAAAAUUCCCAUGUCAUAAUCGAUUGCUCCGCUCGUAAGGUUUGAAACCAAAUGUUCAAUCACUACAACGUUGCAUAUAUAGGUUAGUAAGUUGAGCCCAAAUGAUGUCGGUAUUAACUAUGACACCCACAAGCGGAACACUAUUCAGAUUACGGAAACCUUCAUAUUUCGGGGGUGGUGUAGGCAUACAGUGACUUAGAUCAGAUGAGUCAAUUCUGAACAUGAAAACAAAUAAGAUGGUAUUUUGUAGGCACUGGUUGUACGAUUGUGAAGUUUCACUUCCCUAACUCCACAGUUUGAUAUGUUUUUAAUCCAAAUAUCUAUAUCUGAAUAGAGAUGAAGAGGCAGAUCAUUAGGAUUGCAAAGAAUAAACUUCAAUAUGAGACCUCCACAAGAUAAAAGAAUACUGCUGCCGGUUAUUGAAAAUUCAUAUAGUUUAGUUUCUCUAAUUCUGAAAGGAAACCUCUGAGAAAGCCGGUUGAAGAAAAGGUCAUCAAAAACUAGGUGUGAGUGCAUUUCCCAUAUACCCCUUUAUGUUUUUGAGAGAAUGCUCAUUCUUGCUACACAGUCAACCGGCAAUCACUUUUGAAUUAGGUCUAGUAAGUCACUGGGCAUGUCACUUUUGAAUUAGACCUUAUUCUAUAGCGAUUGCCGGUUGACUGUAUUGCAAGAAUGUGCAUUCUCUCAAAAACAUGGAGGGGUAAAUGAGAAAUGGACCCACACCUAGUUUUUGAUGACCUUUUCUUCAACCGGCUUUCUUAGAGGUUUCCUUCCAGAAGUAGAGAAACUAAACUAUAUGAAUUUUCAAGAACCGUCAGCAGUAGUCUUUUAUCUCGUAGUGGUAUCAUAUUGAAGUUUGUUCUUUGCAUUCCUCAUGAUUUGAUUCUUCAUCUCUAUUUAGAUAUAGUUAUUUGGAUUAAAAACAUAACAAACAAUGGAGUUAGGGAAGUGCAACGUCAUAAUCGUACUUUGGCUGCCUACAAAAUACCAUCUUAUUUGUUUUCCUGUUCAGAGUUGACUCAUUUGUUUCUAAGUUGUAUGCUAACACCACCCCGGAAAUUUGAAGACUUCCGUAAUCUGAUUACUGUUUUGCUUGUGGGUGUCAUAAUUACAACUGACAUUUCAUUUGGGGCUCAACUUGUUGACCUACAUUUGCAACGUUGCAUUGGGAUUGAACUUUUGGGAUGUCAAUAUAAAUAUUAUAUCAAUCUCACUUUUCUGAGUAUUAGCCAUUGUGAUGUAAUUGGAUCAAAUUUCUUGUAUAUAAUCCCAUGUGAAGCAAACACACGAAUUUAGCUCUAUACAUUUCAGGCCUGGUUCUCAUUUCUAUGUAUACAACUUGGAUAGUUUUAUGAUUAAUAUGCUCGAUAUGAUUUUAAUAAAUGUUAUCCAAACUAAUUGCCUCUAGUUGGUAAUGAUGUAAUUCGAUUUUCAUAGGUAGUUUUUGAUAUCAAUAAUCAAAUUUUUUAGAUAUGUGCAAUAGAUCACUGUGAAUAUAUGCGUAACAGGUCACUGUGAAGUGUAAUAAGUGUGGUGAAGUAUGUUUGAAUUUAUAACUCAAAUCCAAUGAUUUAAUUGCUAAUUUGAGAAUGGAAUGGUACUGUUUAUGUCAAGUGUUCAUUUUCUUCUUAUUUGUGUACAACUUUAAUAACAUGUCAGAAUGCUAUUAAGUAUUAUUCCACCGGUCCAAGAGUAUUUCCUUUUCCUUAGAAUUUUCGAUAGCUUCCCGGGGGCGUAGAAGGCUUAUUAAUAUACAGAUUUUGUUAAGCAUAAGCUCAAUAGAAGUAGUUGGGUGUUGAGUAAAUUCCUUGUCAUCAUGUACAUACGGGGUUGUUCCUAAUUGUGCAACAUAGGACUAAAAAGAACUUUUUCUUUGAGGUAAUUACCUUCACGCACAAGGUUCUCUUAUUUGCCAGAAGAAAAUAAUAAGAGUUCCGCGAUGAAAAAUUCCCAUGUCAUAAUUGAUUGCUCCGCUCGUAAGGUUUGAAAUCAAAUGUUCAAUCACACUACAACGUUGCCAAUAUAGGUUAGUAAGUUGAGCCCAAAUGAUGUCAGUAUUAACUAUGACACCCACAAGCGGAACACUAUUCAGAUUACGGAAACCUUCAUAUUUCGGGGGUGGUGUAGGCAUACAGUGACUUAGAUCAGAUGAGUCAAUUCUGAACAUGAAAACAAAUAAGAUGGUAUUUUGUAGGCACUGGUUGUACGAUUGUGAAGUUUCACUUCCCUAACUCCACAGUUUGAUAUGUUUUUAAUCCAAAUAUCUAUAUCUGAAUAGAGAUGAAGAGGCAGAUCAUUAGGAUUGCAAAGAAUAAACUUCAAUAUGAGACCUCCACAAGAUAAAAGAAUACUGCUGCCGGUUAUUGAAAAUUCAUAUAGUUUAGUUUCUCUAAUUCUGAAAGGAAACCUCUGAGAAAGCCGGUUGAAGAAAAGGUCAUCAAAAACUAGGUGUGAGUGCAUUUCCCAUAUACCCCUCUAUGUUUUUGAGAGAAUGCUCAUUCUUGCUACACAGUCAACCGGCAAUCACUUUUGAAUUAGGUAUAGUAAGUCACAGGGCAUGUCACUUUUGAAUUAGACCUUAUUCUAUAGCGAUUGCCGGUUGACUGUAUUGCAAGAAUGUGCAUUCUCUCAAAAACAUGGAGGGGUAAAUGAGAAAUGCACCCACACCUAGUUUUUGAUGACCUUUUCUUCAAUCGGCUUUCUUAGAGGUUUACUUCCAGAAUUAGAGAAACUAAACUAUAUGAAUUUUCAAGAACCGUCAGCAGUAGUCUUUUAUCUCGUAGUGGUAUCAUAUUGAAGUUUGUUCUUUGCAUUCCUCAUGAUUUGUUUCUUCAUCUCUAUUUAGAUAUAGUUAUUUGGAUUAAAAACAUAACAAACAAUGGAGUUAGGGAAGUGCAACUUCAUAAUCGUAUAUUGAGUGCCUACAAAAUACCAUCUUAUUUGUUUUCCUGUUCAGAGUUGACUUAUUUGAUUCUAAGUUGUAUGCUCACACCACCCCGGAAAUUUGAAGACUUCCGUAAUCUGAUUACUGUUUUGCUUGUGGGUGUCAUAAUUACAACUGGCAUUUCAUUUGGUGCUCAACUUGUUGACCUACAUUUGCAACGUUGCAUUGGGAUUGAACUUUUGGGAUGUCAAUAUAAAUAUUAUAUCAAUCUCACUUUUCUGAGUAUUAGCCAUUGUGAUGUAAUUGGAUCAAAUUUCUUGUAUAGAAUCCCAUGUGAAGGAAACACACGAAUUUAGCUCUAUACAUUUCAGGCCUGGUUCUCAUUUCUAUGUAUACAACUUGGAUAGUUUUAUGAUUAAUAUGCUCGAUAUGAUUUUAAUAAAUGUUAUCCAAACUAAUUGCCUCUAGUUGGUAAUGAUGUAAAUCGAUUUUCAUAGGUAGUUUUUGAUAUCAAUAAUCAAAUUUUUUAGAUAUAUGCAACAGAUCACUGUGAAUAUAUGCGUAACAGGUCACUGUGAAGUGUAAUAAGUGUGAGUGAAGUAUGUUUGAAUUUAUAACUCAAAUCCAAUGAUUUAAUUGCUAAUUUGAGAAUGGAAUGGUACUGUUUAUGUCAAGUGUUCAUUUUCUUCUUAUUUGUGUACAACUUUAAUAACAUGUCAGAAUGCUAUUAAGUAUUAUUCCAUCGGUCCAAGAGUAAUUCCUUUUCCUUAGAAUUUUCGAUAGCUUCUCGGGGGCGUAGAAGGCUUAUUAAUAUACAGAUUUUGUUAAGUAUAAGCUCAAUAGAAGUAGUCCGGUGUUAAGUAAAUUCCUUGUCAUCAUGUACAUACGGGGUUGUUCCUAAUUGUGCAACAUAGGACUAAAAAGAACUUUUUCUUUGAGGUAAUUACCUUCACGCACAAG
This 4516-nucleotide long non-coding RNA is filed under the name Daucus carota (carrot). Its description in RNAcentral is "long non-coding RNA (DCAR_LNC002560)". The record is from RNAcentral. Lineage: Eukaryota; Viridiplantae; Streptophyta; Magnoliopsida; Apiales; Apiaceae.